Molecule: long non-coding RNA, 1352 nt
Filed under: Mus caroli (Ryukyu mouse)
Lineage: Eukaryota; Metazoa; Chordata; Mammalia; Rodentia; Muridae
Description: Pvt1 oncogene (MGP_CAROLIEiJ_G0005092.1)
Rfam family: Pvt1 oncogene conserved region 1 (bases 60-216)
Source: RNAcentral
CGUGACGUCACGGGCCACCCGCCAGCCCCGCGCUCUACCAGGCAGAGCGCGUGCGGCCGCCGAGCACAUGGACCCGCUGGUCAAGCGGGCUCGGCAAGGCCAGGAUGAAGAGAAGCUGCGAACUUAGCACUCCCAGAGACCCCCGAGUGGAUAUCCGCGUGGAAAGGAUGUUGGCAGCCCCGGUGACCUCGGAGUCACGGCUGGAUCCACCCUCUUGUCUGAUUUUCUUAACUCGACCACGGUAAGAAGAUGCCCUCCAUCAGCGGGCUGUGCUUGCAGAUGUCGUGGGGCCUCUCUGGAGACUUCCCGAACCCUGUGGAUUUACAGUAAGAUGCAGUUUCCUGGGGAGUAAUUCUGGUGGAUACAAAUUCCGGAGUACUACACCUGGCUUGCCUGGAGAUGUUACAAGUAGUUGGUCGGAUUCUACAGCCUGGAUGCCCACUGAGAACAAGGACUGAAACUGAGAGGACUGUAUCUCUACCCUUGACUCAGUGGGAAUAUUUGCUGUCAUCUCUCGGGUUACCUGGAGCUCCCUCUAAAAUCAUACCCUUGAAGCGUUCCAGAAGGAUUUUGAGGUCCUUUCCUAAAUCAAAGGUGGAAUAUUUGGGGAUUUGGAAAAUUGAGCCAGUCUCUCAGAAGAAUCAGUUGUGUUACUUUGCUGUGAGAUGCCUGCCCUAGGAGAGGAGCAGAAGGUCGGAAAGGGUCCUCUAAUGUGAUAAUUAGAUGAGAAGCAUUGACUUAAGAGAUGCCAAGUAACUCAGCAGAUGUCACACAGACGAUAAAUAGCAAAGAUGGAAGUCUUCAUGCCGGAGGCAAUCCUAUAAGACAGCUGAGUUCUCCAGAGCUGGUAGGAGACAGACUUGCUCAGGUGAUAGAUCCAGCCAUGAUACUGACCCUAAGAGAAUGAGACACUCUGCAGAAGACUUAGAAGAUUCCUGAGACUGGGAAAGGUGCCUAGAAAUCCUGAGAAGAGUGAAGAAGGGUACCUGGAGGCACAGCAGCCGUGUUGAACCUAUGAGGUGAUGAAAAACCAUGCAACUAGAAACCAGAAUGGAAGAAAAGAAGAAGCUGGAUCCUUGACUGAAUCAUAGAUGGGGGAUAGUCCAUCAUCCCAGGGCUAAGACCACCUCCAGAUUUCUUGUUUGGUGAAACAAUUCCUGAUUGUUUACAUUUCUUUAUGUUGAGCUGUCUCUUACUUGUAGCUGAAAGCAUUUCUAAUAGAUAUUCAGAUUAUCAGCCUUAGCUCCAAGCUAGAAUACUCUAUGGGACCUUAGCUUCUCCAUGAAUUCUUUUGCUCAUCUGUGUAGUGCUCAAUAAAUGUAAAUUGAACCCUGAAUGAGGGACAAUGACAC